CGCUGGCGGCAUGCCUAACACAUGCAAGUCGAACGGGACCUUCGGGUCUAGUGGCGCACGGGUGCGUAACGCGUGGGAAUCUGCCCUUAGGUACGGAAUAACUCAGGGAAACUUGAGCUAAUACCGUAUAAUGACUUCGGUCCAAAGAUUUAUCGCCUAAGGAUGAGCCCGCGUAGGAUUAGCUUGUUGGUGAGGUAAAAGCUCACCGAGGCGACGAUCCUUAGCUGGUCUGAGAGGAUGAUCAGCCACACUGGGACUGAGACACGGCCCAGACUCCUACGGGAGGCAGCAGUGGGGAAUAUUGGACAAUGGGCGAAAGCCUGAUCCAGCAAUGCCGCGUGAGUGAUGAAGGCCUUAGGGUUGUAAAGCUCUUUUACCCGGGAUGAUAAUGACAGUACCGGGAGAAUAAGCUCCGGCU
This 418-nucleotide ribosomal RNA is filed under the name uncultured bacterium. RNAcentral describes it as "bacterial SSU rRNA". It matches the Rfam family "Bacterial small subunit ribosomal RNA", at positions 34 to 498 of the family's 1533-position model. The record is from RNAcentral.